This 439-nucleotide RNase P RNA is filed under the name Synechococcales cyanobacterium. Its description in RNAcentral is "RNase P RNA component class A". It matches the Rfam family "Bacterial RNase P class A". Rfam says of the family: Ribonuclease P (RNase P) is a ubiquitous endoribonuclease, found in archaea, bacteria and eukarya as well as chloroplasts and mitochondria. Its best characterised activity is the generation of mature 5'-ends of tRNAs by cleaving the 5'-leader elements of precursor-tRNAs. The record is from RNAcentral. Lineage: Bacteria; Bacillati; Cyanobacteriota; Cyanophyceae; Synechococcales. RNAcentral also lists the same sequence under 1 other name.
AAAAGUAGGCGUAGGCAGUUGCGGGCUAGGGGAUCCCUUAAGCCUGAGGAAAGUCCGGGCUCCCGAAAGACUGAACUUGCUGGGUAACGCCCAGUGCGGGUGACCGUGAGGAAAGUGCCACAGAAAAAUACCGCCUUUUCAUUGGUAAAAUUGGUUUUAACCCACGUUAUAAUUCAAUGAAACUAAUGGUAGGGUAAGGGUGCAAAGGUGCGGUAAAAGCGCACCAGCAACAUCGAGAGGUGUUGGCUCGGUAAACCCCAGUUGGGUGCAAGGUAGAAGGAAUUAGGGUUAGUCUUUUUCCCAUUCCGGUUUAGGAGUGAUUAUCCUAAACAGCACCGCUAGAGGCAGUUGGAAACAAUUGUCCCAGACAGAUAACUGCCCAUUGAUGAUCCUAUGGGAUAGUCAUGAACAGAACCCGGCUUAUGUCCUACUUUUCUAC